UAAUUUCUAUGUUACAAUCCUAAAUCUACAAUAGUUCUCUAUAUAAAUGAAAAAUUUCCAAAAACAGGAGGUUUUUUAAAAAUUAUUUAAAAAGUGCAACCUAUUGAUAAAUUUUUUGAAAGAAUACUAAUCUAUUAACAAAAAUUCAUGUUAUACUAAUUUCUAAGUCAAACUAUUGAUGAAAUUUUGUGAGAGAAUACUCAUCUAUCAACAAAAUUUUGUGACAGAAUACUAAUUUCUAAGUCACAAUCCCAAAUCUACAAUAGUUCUCUAUAGAAAUAAAAUUUUUCCAAAAAUAGCAGAUUUCGUAAAAAUUAUUGAGAAAAUGCAACCUAUUAAUGAAAAAUUCUGAAAAAUACUCAUCUAUAAAAGAAAAUUCCUGUUAUCCUAAUUUCAAAGUCACAACCCUAAAUCUACAAUAGUCCUCUAUACAAAUGAAAACUUUCCAAAAUUAGCAGUUUUUGUAAAAAUAUAUUGAAAAAUGUAACCCAUUGAUGGAAAAUUAUUAAAGAAUACUCAUCUAUCAAAAAAAAAUCUUGUUAUCCUAAUUUCUAAUUCACAAUCUCAAAUCUACAACAGUUCUCUAUAAAAAUGAAAAAUUUCCAAAAAUAGCAGGUUUUGUAAAAAAUUGUUUUAAAAAUCCAAUCUAUGGAAGAAAAAAUCUGAAAGAACACUUAAAUAUCAACAAAAAUUCUUGUUAUCCUAAUUUAUAAGUGACAAUCCCCAAUUUACAAUAGUUCUCUAUAUAAAUGAAAAUUUCCAAAAAUAUGAGGUUUUUUAAAACUUAUUUAAAAACUGCAACCUAUUGAUGAAAUAUUUUUUAAAAAAAUACUAGGCCCAUCGAUUAACAAAAAUUCUUGUUAUACUAGUUUCUAAGUUACAAUCCUAAAUCUACAAUAGUUCUCUAUGUAAAUGAAAAAUUUCCAAAAACAUGAGCUUUUUUAAAAAUUAUUUAAAACGUACAACGUAUUGAUGAAAUUUUUUGAAAGAAUACUCAUCUAUUAACAAAAAUUCAUGUUAUACUAAUUCCUAAGUCAAACUAUUGAUGAAAUUUAGUGAGAGAAUACUCAUCUAUCAACAAAAUUCUAGUUAUCCUAAUUUCUAAGUCACAAUCCCAAAUCUACAAUAGUUCUAAAUAGAAAUAAAAACUUUCCAAAAAUAGCAGCUUUCGUAAAAACUAUUGAGAAAAUGCAACCUAUUAAUGAAAAAUUCUGAAAAAUACUCAUCUAUCAAAGAAAAAUCUUGUUAUCCUAAUUUCAAAGUCACAAACCCAAAUCUACAAUAGUACUCUAUACAAAUGAAAACUUUCCAAAAAUAGCAGUUUUAUGAAAAAAUAUAUUGAAAAAUGUAAGCCAUUGAUGGAAAAUUAUGAAAGAAUACUCAUCUAUCAAAACAAAUUCUUGUUAUCCUUAUUUCUAAGUCACAAUCUCAAAUCUACAACAGUUCUCUAUAAAAAUAAAAAUUUUCCAAAAAUAGCAGGUUUUGUAAAAAAUUGUUUUAAAAAUGCAAUCUAUGGAAGAAAAAAAUCUGAGAGAAUACUUAAAUAUCAACAAAAAUUCUUGUUAUCCUAAUUUCUAAGUGACAAUCCACAAUCUAAAUUAGUUGUCUAUUUAAAUGAAAACUUUCCAAAAAUAGAAGUUUUAUAAAAAAUUAUUUUAAAAAUGCAACCUACUGAUAAAGUUUUUUGAAAGAAUACUUAUAUAUCAAAGAAAAUUCUUGUUAUACUAAUUUCUAAGUGACAAUCCAAAUCUACAAUAGUUCUCUAUGUAAAUGAAAACUUUCCAAAAAUAAGAGGUUUUGUAAAAAUUAUUUAAAAAAUGCAACCUAUUGAUGAACAAUUAUGAAAGAAUACUCAUCUAUCAACGAAAAUUCUUGUUAUCCUAAUUUUAAAGUCACAACCCAUAGUUCUCUAUGUAAAUGAAAACUUUCCAAAAAUAAGAGGUUUUGUAAAAAUUAUUUAAAAAAUGCAACCUAUUGAUGAACAAUUAUGAAAGAAUACUCAUCUAUCAACGAAAAUUCUUGUUAUCCUAAUUUUAAAGUCACAACCCAUAGUUCUCUAUGUAAAUGAAAACUUUCCAAAAAUAAGAGGUUUUGUAAAAAUUAUUUAAAAAAUGCAACCUAUUGAUGAACAAUUAUGAAAGAAUACUCAUCUAUCAACGAAAAUUCUUGUUAUCCUAAUUUUAAAGUCACAACCCAUAGUUCUCUAUGUAAAUGAAAACUUUCCAAAAAUAAGAGGUUUUGUAAAAAUUAUUUAAAAAAUGCAACCUAUUGAUGAACAAUUAUGAAAGAAUACUCAUCUAUCAACGAAAAUUCUUGUUAUCCUAAUUUUAAAGUCACAACCCAUAGUUCUCUAUGUAAAUGAAAACUUUCCAAAAAUAAGAGGUUUUGUAAAAAUUAUUUAAAAAAUGCAACCUAUUGAUGAACAAUUAUGAAAGAAUACUCAUCUAUCAACGAAAAUUCUUGUUAUCCUAAUUUUAAAGUCACAACCCAUAGUUCUCUAUGUAAAUGAAAACUUUCCAAAAAUAAGAGGUUUUGUAAAAAUUAUUUAAAAAAUGCAACCUAUUGAUGAACAAUUAUGAAAGAAUACUCAUCUAUCAACGAAAAUUCUUGUUAUCCUAAUUUCUAAGCUCAUCUAUUAACAAAAAUUCUUGUUAUAUUAAUUUCUAAGUCAAACUAUUCAUGAAAUUUAGUGAGAAAAUACUCAUCUAUCAAUAAAAUUCUAGUUAUACUAAUUUCUAAGUCACAAUCCCAAAUAUACAAUAGUUCUCUAUAGAAAUAAAAAAAUUCCAAAAAUAACAGUUUUGGUAAAAAUUAUUGAGAAACUGCAACCUAUUAAUGAAAAAUUCUGAAAAAUACUCAUCUAUCAAAGAAAAUUCUUGGUAUCCUAAUUUCAAAGUCAGAACCCCAAAUCUACAAUAGUACUCUAUACAAAUGAACACUUUCCAAAAAUAGCAGUUUUUGUAAAAAUGUAUUGAAAAAUGUAACCCAUUGAUGGAAAAUUAUGAAAGAAUAUUCAUCUAUCAAAAAAAAUUCUUGUUAUCCUUAUUUCUAAGUCACAAUCCCAAAUCUACAACAGUUCUCUAUAAAAAAUGAAAAUUUUCCAAAAAUAGCAGGUUUUGUAAAAAAUUGUUUUAAAAAUGCAACCUAUGGAAGAAAAAAAUCUGAAAAAAUACUUAAAUAUCAACAAAAUCUGAAAGAAUACUCAUAUAUUAAAACAAAUUCUUGUUGUCCUUAUUUCUAAGUCACAAUCCCAAGUCUACAACAGUUCUCUAUACAUAUGAAAACUUUCCAAAAACAUCAGUUGUUGUAAAAAGUAUUUAAGAAAUGGAUUCUAUUGAAGAAAAAUCUGAAAUAAUACUUAUAUAUCAACAAAAAUUCUUGUUAUCCUAAUUUCUAAGUGACAGUCUCACAUCUACAAUAGUUCUCUAUAUAAAUCAAAAUUUCCAAAAAUUAGAGGUUUUUUAAAACUUAUUUAAGAAAUGCAACCUAUUGAUGAAAAAUUCUGAAAAAUAUCCAUCUAUUAACAAAAAUUCUUGUUAUACUAAUUUCUAUGUUACAAUCCUAAAUCUACAAUAGUUCUCUAUAUAAAUGAAAAAUUUCCAAAAACAGGAGGUUUUUUAAAAAUUAUUUAAAAAGUGCAACCUAUUGAUAAAUUUUUUGAAAGAAUACUAAUCUAUUAACAAAAAUUCAUGUUAUACUAAUUUCUAAGACAAACUAUUGAUGAAAUUUUGUGAGAGAAUACUCAUCUAUCAACAAAAUUUUGUGACAGAAUACUAAUUUCUAAGUCACAAUCCCAAAUCUACAAUAGUUCUCUAUAGAAAUAAAAUUUUUCCAAAAAUAGCAGAUUUCGUAAAAAUUAUUGAGAAAAUGCAACCUAUUAAUGAAAAAUUCUGAAAAAUACUCAUCUAUAAAAGAAAAUUCCUGUUAUCCUAAUUUCAAAGUCACAACCCUAAAUCUACAAUAGUCCUCUAUACAAAUGAAAACUUUCCAAAAUUAGCUGUUUUUGUAAAAAUAUAUUGAAAAAUGUAACCCAUUGAUGGAAAAUUAUUAAAGAAUACUCAUCUAUCAAAAAAAAUUCUUGUUAUCCUAAUUUCUAAUUCACAAUAUCAAAUCUACAACAGUUCUCUAUAAAAAUGAAAAAUUUCCAAAAAUAGCAGGUUUUGUAAAAAAUUGUUUUAAAAAUCCAAUCUAUGGAAGAAAAAAUCUGAAAGAACACUUAAAUAUCAACAAAAAUUCUUGUUAUCCUAAUUUAUAAGUGACAAUCCCCAAUUUACAAUAGUUCUCUAUAUAAAUGAAAAUUUCCAAAAAUAUGAGGUUUUUUAAAACUUAUUUAAAAAAUGCAACCUAUUGAUGAAAUAUUUUUUAAAAAAAUACUAGGCCCAUCGAUUAACAAAAAUUCUUGUUAUACUAGUUUCUAAGUUACAAUCCUAAAUCUACAAUAGUUCUCUAUGUAAAUGAAAAAUUUCCAAAAACAUGAGCUUUUUUAAAAAUUAUUUAAAACGUACAACGUAUUGAUGAAAUUUUUUGAAAGAAUACUCAUCUAUUAACAAAAAUUCAUGUUAUACUAAUUCCUAAGUCAAACUAUUGAUGAAAUUUAGUGAGAGAAUACUCAUCUAUCAACAAAAUUCUAGUUAUCCUAAUUUCUAAGUCACAAUCCCAAAUCUACAAUAGUUCUAAAUAGAAAUAAAAACUUUCCAAAAAUAGCAGCUUUCGUAAAAACUAUUGAGAAAAUGCAACCUAUUAAUGAAAAAUUCUGAAAAAUACUCAUCUAUCAAAGAAAAAUCUUGUUAUCCUAAUUUCAAAGUCACAAACCCAAAUCUACAAUAGUACUCUAUACAAAUGAAAACUUUCCAAAAAUAGCAGUUUUAUGAAAAAAUAUAUUGAAAAAUGUAAGCCAUUGAUGGAAAAUUAUGAAAGAAUACUCAUCUAUCAAAACAAAUUCUUGUUAUCCUUAUUUCUAAGUCACAAUCUCAAAUCUACAACAGUUCUCUAUAAAAAUAAAAAUUUUCCAAAAAUAGCAGGUUUUGUAAAAAAUUGUUUUAAAAAUGCAAUCUAUGGAAGAAAAAAAUCUGAGAGAAUACUUAAAUAUCAACAAAAAUUCUUGUUAUCCUAAUUUCUAAGUGACAAUCCACAAUCUAAAUUAGUUGUCUAUUUAAAUGAAAACUUUCCAAAAAUAGAAGUUUUAUAAAAAAUUAUUUUAAAAAUGCAACCUACUGAUAAAGUUUUUUGAAAGAAUACUUAUAUAUCAAAGAAAAUUCUUGUUAUACUAAUUUCUAAGUGACAAUCCAAAUCUACAAUAGUUCUCUAUGUAAAUGAAAACUUUCCAAAAAUAAGAGGUUUUUUAAAAAUUAUUUAAAAAAUGCAACCUAUUGAUGAACAAUUCUGAAAGAAUACUCAUCUAUCAACGAAAAUUCUUGUUAUCCUAAUUUUAAAGUCAUAACCCCAAAUCUAUAAUAGUACUCUAUAAAAAUGAAAACUUUCCAAAAAUAGCAGUUUUUGUAAAUACUAUUGAAAAAUAUAACUUAUUGAUGAAAAAUUCUGAAAGAAUACUCUUCUAUCAAAACAAAUUCUUGCUAUCCUUAUUUCUAAGUCACAAUCCCAAAUCUACAACAGUUCUCUAUAAUAAUGAAAAAUUUCCAAAAAUUAGCAGUAUUUGUAUGAAUUAUUUAAAAAAUGCAAUCUAUAUAGAAGAAAAAAUCUCAAAAAAUACUCAUCUAUCAACAAAAUUCUCGGUAUCCUAAUUUUUAAGUCACAAUCCCAAAUCUACAAUAGUUCUCUAUAGAAAUAAAAACUUUCCAAAAAUAGCAGCUUUCGUAAAAAUUAUUGAGAAAAUGCAACCUAUUAAUGAAAAAUUAUGAAAGAAUACUCAUCUAUUAACAAAAAUUCAUGUUAUACUAAUUUCUAAGUCAAACUAUUGAUGAAAUUUUGUGAGAGAAUACUCAUAUAUCAACAAAAUUCUAGUUAUCCAAAUUUCUAAGUCACAAUCCUAAAUCUACAAUAGUUCUCUAUAGAAAUAAAAACUUUCCAAAAUAGCUGCUUUCGUAAAAAUUAUUGAGAAAAUGCAACAUAUUAAUGAAAAAUUCUGAAAAAUACUAAUCUAUCAAAGAAAAUUCUUGUUUCUAAUUUCAAAGUCACAACCCCAAAUCUACAAUAGUACUCUAUACAAAUGAAAACUUUCCAAAAAUAGCAGUUUUUGUAAAAAUAUAUUGAAAAAUGUAACCCAUUGAUGCAAAAUUAUGAAAGAAUACUCAUCUAUCAAAAAUAAUUAUUCUUAUCCUUAUUUCUAAGUCACAAUCUCAAAUCUACAACAGUUCUCUAUAAAAAUAAAAAAUUUCCAAAAAUAGCACGUUUUGUAAAAAAAUGUUUUAAAAAUGCCGUCUAUUGAAGAAAAAAUCUGAAAGAGUACUUAAAUAUCAACAAAAAUUCUUGUUAUCUUAAUUUUUAAGUAACAAUCCACGAUCUACAGUAGUUCUCUAUUUAAAUAAAAAAUUUCCUAAAAUAUGAGUUUGAUUAAAAAUUAUUUUAAAAAUGCAACCUACUAAUAAAGUUUUUUGAAAGAAUACUUAUAUAUCAACGAAAAUUCUUGUUAUCCUAAUUUGUAAGUGACAAUCUCAAAUCUACAAUAGUUCUCUAUGUAAAUGUAAACUUUCCAAAAAUAAGAGGUUUUUUAAAAAUUAUUUAAAAAAUGCAACCUAUUGAUGAAAAAUUCUGAAAGAAUACUCGUCUAUCAACGAAAAUUCUUGUUAUCCUAAUUUUAAAGUCACAACCCCAAAUCUAUAAUAGUACUCCAUAAAAAUGAAAACUUUCCAAAAACAGCAGUUUUUGUAUAAAUUAUUGACAAAUGUAACCAAUUGAUGGAAAAAUAUGAAAUAAUACUCAUCUAUCAAAACAAAUUCUUGUUAUCCUUAUUUAUAAGCCACAAUCCCAAAUUUACAACAGUUUUCUAUAAAAAUAAAAACUUUUCAAAAAUAGCAGCUUUUGUAAAAAUUAUUUUAAAAAUGAAAAUUUUCCAAAAAUAGCAGUUUUUGUAAAAUUUAUUGAAAAAUGUAACCUAUUGAUGAAAAAUUCUGUAAGAAUACUUUUCUAUCAAAACAAAUUCAUGUUAUCUUUAUUUCUAAGUCACAAUCCCAAUUCUACAACAGUUCUCUAUAAAAAAGAAAACUUUCCAAAAACAUCAGCUUUUGUAAAAACUUAUUAAGAAAUGCAAUCUAUUGAAGAAAAACCUGAAAGAAUAUUUAUAUAUCAACAAAAAUUCUUGUUAUCCUAAUUUCUACGUGACAAUCUCAAAUCUACAAUAGUUCUCUAUGUAAAUGAAACCUUUCCAAAAAUAUGAGGUUUUUUAAAAAAUUAUUUAAGAAAUGCAACCUAUUGAUAAAAAAUUCUGAAAGAAUACUCAUCUAUUAAAAAAAAUUCUUGAUAUACUAAUUUCUAAGUUACAAUCCUAAAUCUACAAUAGUUCUCUAUAAAAAUGAAAACUUUUCAAAAAUAGCAGUUUUUGUAAAAACUAUUGAAAAAUGUAACUAUUUGAUGAAAAAUUAAUAAAAAUACUCAUAUAUCAAAAAAAAUUCUUGUUAUCCUUAUUUGUAAGUCACAAUCCCAAAUCCACAACAGUUUUCUAUAAAAAUGAAAUUUUUCCAAAAAUAGAAGCUUUUGUACAAAUUAUUUAAAAAAUGUAAUCUAUAGUAGAAAAAAUCUGAAAGAAUACUCAUCUAUCAACAAAAAUUCUUUUUAUCCUAAUUUAUAAGUGACAAUCCCAAAUAUACAAUAGUUCUCUAUAUAAAUGAAAACUUUCUAAAAACAUGAGGUUUUUAAAAAAUUAUAAAAAAAUACAACUUAUAAAUGAAAAUUUCUGAAAGAAUACUCAUCUAUUAACAACAAUUCUUGUUAUCCUAAUUUCUAAGUCACUAUCCUAAAUCUAUAAUAGUUCUCUAUAAAAAUGAAAACUCACCAAAAAUAGCAGUUUUUGUAAAAAUUAUUGAAAAAUGUGACUUAUUGAUAAAAAAAUCUGAAAGAAUACUCAUCUAUUAGAACAAAUUCUUGUUAUCCUUAUUUCUAAGUCACAAUCCAAAUCUACAACAGUUCUCUAUAAAAAUGAAAAGUUUUCAAAAACAUCAACUGUUGUAAAAAAUAUUUAAGAAUUGCAUUCUAUUGAAGAAAAAUCUGAAAGAAUACUUAUAUAUCAACAAAAAUUCUAUUAUUCUAAUUUCUAAGUGACAACCCCAAAUCUACAAAAGUUCUCUGUGUAAAUGAAAAUUUCCAAAAAUUUGAGGCUUUUUAAAACUUAUUUAAAAAAUGCAACAUAUUGAUGAAAAAUUCUGAAAACAAUACCCAUCUAUUAACAAAAAUUCUUGUUAUACUAAUUUCUAAGUCAAACUAUUGAUGAAAUUUAGUGAGAAAAUACUCAUCUAUAAAAACAAAUUCUUGUUAUCCUUAUUUCUAAGUCACAAUCCCAAAUCUACAACAGUUCUCUAUAAAAAUAAAAAAAUUUCAAAAAUAGUAGGUUUUGUAAAAACAUUAUUUUAAAAAUGCAAUCUUUGGAAGAAAAAAUCUGAAAGAAUACUUAAAUAUCAACAAAAAUUCUUGUUAUCCUAAUUUCUAAGCGACAAUCCCAAAUCUACAAUAGUUCACUAUUUAAAUGAAAACAUUCCCAAAAUAUGAGUUUUAUUAAAAAUUAUUUUAAAAAUGCAACCUACUGAUGAAGUUUUUUGAAUGAAUACUUAUAUAUCAACGAAAAUUCUUGUUAUCCAAAUUUUUAAGUGACAAUCACAAAUCUACCAUUGUUGUCUAUGUAAAUAAAAACUUUUCAAAAAUAAGAGGAAUUUUAAAAAUUAUUUAAAAAAUGCAACCUAUUUAACAAUUAUGAAAGAAUACUCAUCUAUCAACGAAAAUUCUUGUUAUCCUAAUUUUAAAGUCACAAUCCCAAAUCUAUAAUAAUACUCUAUAAAAAUGAAAAUUUUCCAAAAAUAGCAAUUUUUAUAAAAAUUAUUGAAAAAUGUAACCAAUUGAUGGAAAAUUAUGAAAGAAUACUCAUCUAUCACAACAAAUUCUUGUUAUCCUUAUUUAUAAGCCACAAUCCCAAAUCUACAACAGUUCACAAUAAAAAUGAAAAAUUUCAAAAACUAGCAACUUUUGUAAAAAUUAUUUUAAAAAUGCAAUCUAUGGAAGAAAUAAUCUGAAAGAAUAUUUAUAUAUCAACAAAAAUUUUUUUUAUCCUAAUUUCUAAGUGACAAUCCCAAAUCUACAAUAGUUCUCUGUGUAAAUGAAAACUUUCCAAAAAUAGGAGGUUCUUAAAAAAUUAUUUGAAAAAUGCAACCUAUUGAUGAAAAAUUCUGAAAGAAUACUAAUCUAUUAACAAAAAUUCUUGAUAUACUAAUUUCUAAGUCACAAUCCUAAAUCUACAAUAGUUCUCUAUAAAAAUGAAAUUUUUCCAAAAUUAGCAGUUUUUGCAAAAACUAUUAAAAAAUGUAACUUAUUGAUGAAAAAUUAUGAAAGAAUACUCAUCUAUCAAAAACAAUUCUUGCUAUCCUUAUUUCUAAGUCACAAUAUCAAAUCUACAACAGUUCUCUAAAAAAUGAAAACUUUCCAAAAAUAGCACCUUUUGUAAAAAUUAUUUUAAAAAUGCAAUCUUUGGAAGAAAAAAAUCUGAAAGAAUACUCAUCUAUCAACAAAAAUUCUUGUUAUCCUAAUUUCUAAGUGACAAUUGACAAUAGUUCUCUAUGUAAAUGAAAACUUUCCAAAAAUAGGAGGUUAAAAAAAAAUUAUUUAAAAAAUGCAACCUAUUGAUGAACAAUUCUGAAAGAAUACUCAUCUA
This 9811-nucleotide long non-coding RNA is filed under the name Brassica napus (rape). Its description in RNAcentral is "long non-coding RNA (BNAP_LNC020792)". The record is from RNAcentral. Lineage: Eukaryota; Viridiplantae; Streptophyta; Magnoliopsida; Brassicales; Brassicaceae.